RNAcentral lists this ribosomal RNA (460 nucleotides) under uncultured bacterium. Its description in RNAcentral is "partial 16S ribosomal RNA". It matches the Rfam family "Bacterial small subunit ribosomal RNA", at positions 338 to 795 of the family's 1533-position model. The record is from RNAcentral.
CCUACGGGUGGCAGCAGUGAGGAAUAUUGGUCAAUGGACGAGAGUCUGAACCAGCCAAGUAGCGUGAAGGAUGACUGCCCUAUGGGUUGUAAACUUCUUUUAUAAAGGGAUAAAACGAGGCACGUGUGCCUUUUUGCAUGUACUUUAUGAAUAAGGAUCGGCUAACUCCGUGCCAGCAGCCGCGGUAAUACGGAGGAUCCGAGCGUUAUCCGGAUUUAUUGGGUUUAAAGGGAGCGUAGAUGGGUUGUUAAGUCAGUUGUGAAAGUUUGCGGCUCAACCGUAAAAUUGCAAUUGAUACUGGCAGUCUUGAGUACAGUUGAGGUAGGCGGAAUUCGUGGUGUAGCGGUGAAAUGCUUAGAUAUCACGCAGAACCCCGAUUGCGAAGGCAGCUUACUAAACUGUGACUGACAUUGAUGCACGAAAGUGUGGGUAGCAAACAGGAUUAGAUACCCUAGUAGUC